RNAcentral lists this transfer RNA (74 nucleotides) under Entomophthora muscae. RNAcentral's name for it is "tRNA-Ile". It matches the Rfam family "tRNA". Rfam says of the family: Transfer RNA (tRNA) molecules are approximately 80 nucleotides in length. The record is from RNAcentral. Lineage: Eukaryota; Fungi; Entomophthoromycota; Entomophthoromycetes; Entomophthorales; Entomophthoraceae.
GCUCGCUUAACUCAGUUGGUUAGAGUGUGGUGCUAAUAACGCCAAAGUCACAGGUUCGACCCCUGUAUUGAGCA